Long non-coding RNA from Penaeus monodon (black tiger shrimp), 93 nucleotides. RefSeq lists it as uncharacterized. The transcript is spliced from 2 exons. The record is from RefSeq and is a predicted model, not a curated record. NCBI's taxonomy places the organism in Eukaryota, Metazoa, Arthropoda, Malacostraca, Decapoda, Penaeidae.
UCAGUGGAGGGAAGGACAAAGUGAUCAAAGUAUGGAGAAGAUAAAAGCAGUGAUCUCCGUGAGCACAAUAGCAAAUAAAAGUAGUACACGUUC